CCCAAAGAGAGAGAAGAGUGUGUCACUGUGUCGUCUCUAAAACUACAAAUAAAAAUUGUCAAAGAAGAGAGAGUUUGGUUUUUUGGUGGGAGCUAUAGAGGUCCACAAAAGCUUUUCACGCGUGCUAAAGGAGCAACCAAACCAACGGUCACGAUCAAGGCCGCAUUAAACGGAAACCAUUUGUGAUUGUUUCAUCCAACGGCUCACACUUUCCCUUGUUUGACUCUCUUCUGUCCAUCCC
RNAcentral lists this long non-coding RNA (241 nucleotides) under Arabidopsis thaliana (thale cress). Its description in RNAcentral is "ncRNA (AT1G06297)". Lineage: Eukaryota; Viridiplantae; Streptophyta; Magnoliopsida; Brassicales; Brassicaceae. The record is from RNAcentral.